AUGAUCAUGGAUAAGCAAGAAAAAAGAAGGAUGUGCAGCGAUGCACAGAAGUCAGCAACUGUAAAUAAAGUUUUGAAAGCCUGCCCCCAGAGUUCAGAAGAAAGAAGCAUAUUGAAGAAGAUGCUGAUGCAGCGUGACCAGGAGAUCAGUAACCUUGUAAGGAUGUUGAAGAACAAUAAUCCUGCUUGGUUUGCUGAUAUCAAGGGUGGCCUAGCCCUGCCAUGCCAAAGUGAAAUAAAUGUGUAUAAACCUCAGGGAAAUGUCAACACCAUGCCUGUAGAGAGUGAAGCACAGACAGUUCUACAGCAAAUGAAGACAAAUGAAGAGCCUUUCGAGACAUUUAUGGGAAGUGAAGACAAUCUGACCAUUGACAAGAAUAUUAUAUCUAGACUAAAACAGAGGGUGACUGAGGCCAGAAGACUUGGUGAGCAACUGAAAGUGUCCAAAAACAGAAUUCAUGAGAUGAAGAAGCAGUUGGCCUCGCAGAGGAAGCAGAUGGCAACUAAUGAUGUAACAUGGAAUCACACAGAGGCUGAAGAGGAGGAUCUUGUGAUAAAAAGCCUAUCUCUCCAAAUUGAGCAAGAAAAAACAAAGUGAGUAUAGUAGAAAGUGAUUUUUAUGUAUUGCUAAACAAAAAUAUGUUGUCAUUUCAUGAUCAAUUUUUCUUCUUCUUUCGUCUUGUCAGCUAUAAGACUGUCAUCAGCCGUCUUAAAGAACUGAGGAGAAAAAUUGAGCGCCAGCAACUCUACCUGGCUUAAAAAAAACUGCAAAAGGAUUUCCAAAGACAUUGGGCCCAGGGAGUCACCUUAGUGCAGGUCACACAAAAAAAGCAUAACGGCUAUAUUAACAAUAUGUCGCAUACUUUUUAGGCCAAGCUUAAAGUAGAGCUGACAUCUCUUAUUUUGUCAUGGGACGUUUUUAUUUUACCAUUUGUUUGAUUGCUGGAAAUAGGACUCCAACAGAUGCUACAGCCAGAUAAACACAAGUGACAAUUCUGAGGUGUUUCUUUGUAAUUAUUUUAUGUUUUUGUAUGUGAUGAGUGUUGUGAAGUACAUAUUUUUGUCUGUGAGAGUGAAAUAAAUAAAUAUCAUUAGUCU
Molecule: long non-coding RNA, 1097 nt
Filed under: Takifugu rubripes (torafugu)
Lineage: Eukaryota; Metazoa; Chordata; Actinopteri; Tetraodontiformes; Tetraodontidae
Description: lncRNA (ENSTRUG00000027390.1)
Source: RNAcentral